RNAcentral lists this ribosomal RNA (492 nucleotides) under uncultured bacterium. RNAcentral's name for it is "partial 16S ribosomal RNA". It matches the Rfam family "Bacterial small subunit ribosomal RNA", at positions 29 to 507 of the family's 1533-position model. The record is from RNAcentral.
AGUGAACGCUGGCGGUAGGCCUAACACAUGCAAGUCGAACGGCAGCACAGUAAGAGCUUGCUCUUACGGGUGGCGAGUGGCGGACGGGUGAGGAAUACAUCGGAAUCUACUUUUUCGUGGGGGAUAACGUAGGGAAACUUACGCUAAUACCGCAUACGACCUACGGGUGAAAGCAGUGGAUCUUCGGACCUUGCGCGAUUGAAUGAGCCGAUGUCGGAUUGGCUAGUUGGCGGGUUAAAGGCCCACCAAGGCGACGAUCCGUAGCUGGACUGAGAGGAUGAUCGGCCACAUUGGAGCUGAGACACGGACAAGACUACUACGGGAGGCAGCAGUGGGGAAUAUUGGGCAGUGGGGGCAAGCCUGAUCCAGCCAUCCCGCGUGGGUGAAGAAGGCGUCGGGGUUGUAAAGCCGUUUUGUUGGGAAAAAAAAGCAGCAGGUUAAUACCCAGCUGUUCUGACGGUACCCAAAAAAUAAGCACCGGCUAACUUCGUG